RNAcentral lists this transfer RNA (67 nucleotides) under Macrophthalmus darwinensis. RNAcentral describes it as "tRNA-Asp". Lineage: Eukaryota; Metazoa; Arthropoda; Malacostraca; Decapoda; Macrophthalmidae. The record is from RNAcentral.
AAGAAACUAGUUAAUUAUUAUAACAUUCGCCUGUCACGCGAAAGUAAUCCUCCAAGGAUGUCUCUUA